RNAcentral lists this long non-coding RNA (629 nucleotides) under Ananas comosus (pineapple). RNAcentral's name for it is "long non-coding RNA (ACOM_LNC037786)". The record is from RNAcentral. Lineage: Eukaryota; Viridiplantae; Streptophyta; Magnoliopsida; Poales; Bromeliaceae.
UACUAUUUAUACUAUAUUAUUGGUAAUACUGUAAGAAUUUAUCCGGCACAAAAAAAAAUCACAGCGAAAAUUAAAAUUGUAUUUUCGAAAAACAAAAAUCCAUAUCACAUAUGAAUCAAAACAAAAACAAAUCAAUCGAGUGCCGGCGGAUCAUUCUCAUGUUACAAUGUAAAAUAAUAAUCUAACCUAAAUAGAUUUGAAGUUCGGGCUACAUCACCACGAACUAGCUAAGGUCUCUUGAUCUACUGCAUGGUUGAAACUGAAAUUCCGAUUUGCCGCGCACGUGCCCGGCCUCUACGCAUAUCCACACGGAAUUGAUGCAGAUCCAACGCCUUCCGUCGCACGGAACAGAUGAGUCGCAGAUUACAAAGAUGGUGCUAGCAGUCUUCUGAUAUCUACGUUCCCUUUUGUGAAAUUUACUGAUUUUCACGAAGGAUAAUAGAGAGAGAUGGAUAAUCUGAUACUUCGCAAGAGGCGAUCAUUAAAUCCCUCACGUAAAGUUAUUAUAUAUAUCUCCUCACGUAGUCAUUUUCAUAACUCACCUUAUGUACAUCUCACGAUCUGUUGCAACUAAUUAGAUCCCACGAUCUAAUUAAAGCCGUACAAACCGGCACAUCCCACUACCUGUU